UCAAGCCUGGGCUAACCCCAGAACCUUGAUUGGCAGGAUUCAUGUGCCAGUGGCCCAUAGCAGGACCAGGAGCCAGGGUGUGGUGCUGAGAAGGGCAAACAACUUUCCCUGAGCCACUCGGCAAGUCACAGCAGAGUUGGAGUGCGGCCCCCAAACACUACACAAAACCUCCCAGGGCAACGUCAGCUGUCAUGAGAGUGGCCCAGAGGCAUCAUGUGAGGAAAAGGGACUUUGCGAUCUGUGCAUUGGGCUCCCAGGACACUUUCCAGUCCCUUCUUGCUUCCGGUAGUGGCAGCGUGGCUCAGACUUGGGAGCUCAGCGGACCCGGGCUCAUCCCCAGCUCUGCCACGCACUUUCCCGUGUGACCAUGGAUGAGCCAUUGGAGUCACUAUCUGCCUGACUGAACCCUUGGAAGUCUGAAGCAACACCCAACUUGACCCAGUUAGCCUGAAACCCGACCUUCCCAUCUGAGGGGGGCUGGCAGUCACCGUGUCUCAAUGUCACAGGAGGUGGGAA
Molecule: long non-coding RNA, 516 nt
Organism: Suricata suricatta (meerkat)
Lineage: Eukaryota; Metazoa; Chordata; Mammalia; Carnivora; Herpestidae
Exons: 3
Source: RefSeq, a predicted model, not a curated record